RNAcentral lists this ribosomal RNA (484 nucleotides) under uncultured bacterium. Its description in RNAcentral is "partial 16S ribosomal RNA". It matches the Rfam family "Bacterial small subunit ribosomal RNA", at positions 30 to 507 of the family's 1533-position model. The record is from RNAcentral.
AUUGAACGCUGGCGGCAGGCCUAACACAUGCAAGUCGAGCGGAUGAAGGGAGCUUGCUCCUGGAUUCAGCGGCGGACGGGUGAGUAAUGCCUAGGAAUCUGCCUGGUAGUGGGGGAUAACGUCCGGAAACGGGCGCUAAUACCGCAUACGUCCUGAGGGAGAAAGUGGGGGAUCUUCGGACCUCACGCUAUCAUAUGAGCCUAGGUCGGAUUAGCUAGUUGGUGGGGUAAAGGCCUACCAAGGCGACGAUCCGUAACUGGUCUGAGAGGAUGAUCAGUCACACUGGAACUGAGACACGGUCCAGACUCCUACGGGAGGCAGCAGUGGGGAAUAUUGGACAAUGGGCGAAAGCCUGAUCCAGCCAUGCCGCGUGUGUGAAGAAGGUCUUCGGAUUGUAAAGCACUUUAAGUUGGGAGGAAGGGCAGUAAGUUAAUACCUUGCUGUUUUGACGUUACCAACAGAAUAGGCACCGGCUAACUUCGUG